RNAcentral lists this ribosomal RNA (262 nucleotides) under uncultured archaeon. RNAcentral describes it as "partial 16S ribosomal RNA". It matches the Rfam family "Archaeal small subunit ribosomal RNA", at positions 718 to 982 of the family's 1478-position model. The record is from RNAcentral.
AGUCACACAUUAGAUACCCGCGUAGUCCCAGCCGUAAACUAUGCGCGUUAGGUGUAUCGGUGACCACGAGUCACCGAGGUGCCGAAGGGAAACCGUGAAACGUGCCGCCUGGGAAGUACGGUCGCAAGGCUGAAACUUAAAGGAAUUGGCGGGGAGCACCACAACGGGUGGAGCCUGCGGUUUAAUUGGACUCAACGCCGGGAAGCUCACCGGAUAAGACAGCGGAAUGAUUGCCGGGCUGAAGACUCUGCAUGACUAGCUG